Molecule: transfer RNA, 92 nt
Filed under: Desulfatiglans sp.
Lineage: Bacteria; Pseudomonadati; Thermodesulfobacteriota; Desulfobacteria; Desulfatiglandales; Desulfatiglandaceae
Description: tRNA-Pro
Source: RNAcentral
GGAGAGGUACCGAAGUGGCCGUAACGGGGUCGACUCGGCAUCGAUUUGUCUUGUGAAUAGCAGGACACGUGGGUUCCCCACCCUCUCCGCCA